This 321-nucleotide small nuclear RNA is filed under the name Meriones unguiculatus (Mongolian gerbil). RNAcentral's name for it is "7SK RNA (ENSMUGG00000002490.1)". It matches the Rfam family "7SK RNA". Rfam says of the family: 7SK was discovered as an abundant small nuclear RNA in the mid-70s but a possible function has only recently been suggested. Two independent studies have found that 7SK RNA binds the CDK9/cyclin T complex (known as elongation factor P-TEFb). The record is from RNAcentral. Lineage: Eukaryota; Metazoa; Chordata; Mammalia; Rodentia; Muridae.
AGAUGUGAGGGCGAUCUGGCUGCGACAUCUGUCACCCCAUUGAUCGCCAGGGUUGAUUCGGCUGAUCUAGCUGGCUAGGCGGGUGUCCCCUUCCUCCCUCACCGCUCCAUGUGCGUCCCUCCCGAAGCUGCGCGCUCGGUCGAAGAGGACGACCUUCCCCGAAUAGAGGAGGACCAGUCUUCGGUCAAGGGUAUACGAGUAGCUGCGCUCCCCUGCUAGAACCUCCAAACAAGCUCAAGGUCCAGUCAUUCUUUAAUACAGAAUGAAACAAUGCACAGAACAUAGUACUACAGUCAGUAGGAGUUACUACUUCUAUUCAUU